UGGGGAAUUUUGCACAAUGGGCGGAAGCCUGAUGCAGCGACGCCGCGUGCAGGAGGAAGGUCUUCGGAUCGUAAACUGCUUUCGCUGGGGGAGAGCGCACCGGUGGUGAAUAACCGCUGGUGUUGACGGUACCCAGUAAAGAAGCCCCGGCUAAGUCCGUGCCAGCAGCCGCGGUAACACGGGCGGGGCAAGCGUUGUUCGGAUUUAUUGGGUGUAAAGGGUGCGCAGGCGGUCUGUUAAGUCGGGGGUGAAAUUUCUACGGCUCAACUGAGAAACUGCCUUCGAUACUGACAGACUUGAGUGCGGAAGGGGAGCGUGGAAUUCCUGGUGUAGCGGUGAAAUGCGUAGAUAUCAGGAGGAACACCUGUGGCGAAGGCGACGCUCUGGUCCGUAACUGACGCUCAUGCACGAAAGCCAGGGGAGCGAACGGGAUUAGAUACCCCGGUAGUCCUGGCCGUAAACGUUGGGCACUAGGUGUGGGAGGUUUCGACCCCUUCCGUGCCGCAGCUAACGCAUUAAGUGCCUCACCUGGGGAGUACGGCCGCAAGGCUA
Molecule: ribosomal RNA, 552 nt
Filed under: uncultured bacterium
Lineage: Bacteria
Description: bacterial SSU rRNA
Rfam family: Bacterial small subunit ribosomal RNA
Source: RNAcentral